GAGGACUCGGGUUCACGCUCUAUUUGCCGUAGCUCUGUGGCAAGGCUCCCCAAAUCGUUAUCUGCGUUGCACUCUCUCUGUUGGAGUUGGAUCUCAAGAUACUUCGCAUCGUUUUCAGAUCUAUGGAUUUAAUAUUGGGAGAAGGACCUUUCCCCAAAUGAUCAGUCUCUCAGAUUCACCCCAGAAAUCGAUUUUAGCUCCAGUAAUGGGCAUCCACUCAGCGCUCUGUCUUUCAUGGUGUUUCCUGAGCAUGCAAUCAAGGGAUUGUUGAAGAUGAACUGGCAACCUUGCAGUCCAUCGUGGUGAAGCUUAUUCUUAUUACAAGGACUUUGGGAGACAUAUUGCUAUGAACAAAGAAAAAACCAAUAGAAACAGCAGAAGCCCCAGAGUGCCAUGAGCAAAUAGACUGAAUGAAGGGAAGGAGGUGCUGGUUAGUAAAUCUCUUUUCCAUACCUUGUACUUCUAUGCUUUUACUUUAGCAUGUGGUUCACGCAUUAUAAGCUUUGGUUUUGGCUGUAGCU
This is a long non-coding RNA of Rosa chinensis, 521 nucleotides long. RefSeq lists it as uncharacterized. The transcript has 4 exons. The record is from RefSeq and is a predicted model, not a curated record. NCBI's taxonomy places the organism in Eukaryota, Viridiplantae, Streptophyta, Magnoliopsida, Rosales, Rosaceae.